Molecule: ribosomal RNA, 466 nt
Filed under: uncultured bacterium
Lineage: Bacteria
Description: bacterial SSU rRNA
Rfam family: Bacterial small subunit ribosomal RNA
Source: RNAcentral
UUCCAGACUCCUACGGGAGGCAGCAGUGAGGAAUAUUGGUCAAUGGGCUUACGCCUGAACCAGCCAAGUCGCGUGAGGGAAGACUGCCCUAUGGGUUGUAAACCUCUUUUGUCAGGGAGCAACGCCGGCUACGUGUAGCCGGACUGAGAGUACCCGUAGAACAAGCAUCGGCUAACUCCGUGCCAGCAGCCGCGGUAAUACGGAGGAUGCGAGCGUUAUCCGGAUUUAUUGGGUUUAAAGGGUGCGCAGGCGGCACGGCAAGCCGGCGGUCAAAUCGCGGGGCUCAACCCCGCCCAGCCGUCGGAACUGCCGGGCUAGAGUGGGCGAGAAGUGCGCGGAAUGCGUGGUGUAGCGGUGAAAUGCAUAGAUAUCACGCAGAACUCCGGCGGCGAAGGCGGCCUGCUGGACCGUGACUGACGUUGAGGCUCGAGAGCGUGGGGAGCAAACAGGAUUAGAUACCCCAGUA